GCCCGGCCCGGUCCAAGCACGUUAUUCUAAUGGGUCGGGCUAGAUCUAAAAAAUGAGCCCAUGGGCCCGGCCCAAGCCCUUUAUAGGCCCGGCCCAGCCCGAGCACGAUAAUUUGAGGCCCACGGCCCGGCCCGCUAUAAAAUAUAUUUUUUUUUCCAUUUCUAAUAUGAAGAUAACAUAUUUAUAAAUAAUAAAUUUAGUUUUGAGUGUGAACAAUAAACUUAUAUACUAAUAAUUAUUUAUUUGAGUAUGAAUUUAGAUUCCUUUAGACUCGUAAGAAGUUUUUGCCUAAAAAUUUAUUAAUUGUGAACAAUAAGUAUUUAUCACUUAUUUCUUUAGUUGUUGACAAAUAAAAAAAUGAUUGAGAGAUUGUGUGAAUUAGUUUUGGUUUGUAAUCGUAUCAUGUAUAAUUAAAAGUUGAGAUUAUGAGAGUAGAAGCGGUGGUAUAGGACAUUCACCUCGACUAUUUUUAAUUUUCGGCACGAAACGGGUCCGACAAGGCCCGUUCAUGGGCUCGGGCCGGCCCGGCCCACCACAGUAUGGGCUUGGGCCAUGGGUUUGGCUUGGCCUUACAUUUGAGUAAAUGGGCCGGCCCAAGCCCGAGCCCGUUAAGAAGUGGCCCGUCAUGGGCCGGCCCAAGCACAGCCCGAAACCCGAUUAGACGGGUCGAGCCGGGCUAGGCUGGCCCGUUUGCCACCUCUACUCUCUAGGAAUAUACAAAGUAUGAUCAUAAUUUUAAACUUCAUAUAAUCAUUCUAAGGACUUUGUUAUAUUAGGUUUUGCCAUUUUUUAUUCAUAGAUGGUACCUAAAACCAGUUCUCUAAGGUGCUUAAAACCGAUUCCCUAAAGCCUCUUAACCAAAUCUAGGAUUUAAUGGCUAUAUCAGAGAUAUAAGCUUUUAGAGAGUAUGAGUUUUUCUAUGAAGAAGACUUAUAUAAUAAAAUAGAAUAAAACUUAAUUUACAUAGUAAGAAAACUUACUUGAAUGGAAAGCCUUCCUCUCUUUCCUAGCUUGUAUUUCACUUGUAUGAAACUUCCUCCCUAUCAAUAAAAAUAGUUACUAGUGUGGUUUCUUUUGUGUAUGGUAUCAGAGCCAUAUAUAUAUAUAUACAUAUAUAUAUAUAUAUAUAUAUAUACAGGCCCGUUCUGAUGCGAACGUCUGCACUAACCUUAAAGUGCGGACGUCCCUCUGUUCGCCACCGUACGGCGCCGGUGAGGGCGCACCUCCACCCCAGCGGACUCCAGCAGUGUCCCCGACCACUUCUCCUCUCCGGUGAGUCCGUUCUUUUCCAGUUUUCCGGCGAGAUCACCCAAAACUUCAAAUAAAGUCGAUCUCGUCGGAAACUGGAAUUCGGCGGACUCGCUGGGGAGGGAAAGUGGUCGGGGACGCUGCUGGAGUCUGCUGGGGUGGAGGCGCGCCCUCGCCGGCGCUGGAGGGUGGAGAACAGAGGGACGUCUGCACUUUAAGUCGAGUGUGGACGUCCGC
Molecule: long non-coding RNA, 1485 nt
Filed under: Fragaria vesca (wild strawberry)
Lineage: Eukaryota; Viridiplantae; Streptophyta; Magnoliopsida; Rosales; Rosaceae
Description: long non-coding RNA (FVES_LNC004185)
Source: RNAcentral